CUGUGACAUUGUUUAACGGCCGCGGUAUUAUGACCGUGCGAAGGUAGCGUAAUCACUUGUCUUUUAAUUGAAGACCUGUAUGAAAGGCAUCACGAGAGUUUACCUGUCUCUAUUUUCUAAUCAAUGAAAUUGAUCUCCCCGUGCAGAAGCGGGGAUAUAACCAUAAGACGAGAAGACCCUAUGGAGCUUUAAACACUUAAGUUACUAUCUUACUUACCGACAAUCUAAAGACUUAACCUACCCUAAUAGUAAUCUAACUUAAUGUUUUCGGUUGGGGCGACCAAGGAGUAAAAGAAAACCUCCUUAUCGAUUGAGUAUUUUUACUUAAAAAUCAGAACGACAGCUCUGAUCAAUAGAAUAUCUAACGAGUAAUGACCCAGGGUUAUACCCUGAUCAAUGAACCAAGUUACCCUAGGGAUAACAGCGCAAUCCUUUCUAAGAGUCCAUAUCGCCGAAAGGGUUUACGACCUCGAUGUUGGAUCAGGACAUCCUAAUGGUG
This 499-nucleotide ribosomal RNA is filed under the name Raja polystigma (speckled ray). RNAcentral's name for it is "partial 16S ribosomal RNA". It matches the Rfam family "Bacterial large subunit ribosomal RNA", at positions 1912 to 2555 of the family's 2925-position model. Lineage: Eukaryota; Metazoa; Chordata; Chondrichthyes; Rajiformes; Rajidae. The record is from RNAcentral.